CAUAAGCUACUUUACCAUACGAACACAGAUAUACAAACUUAUUGCAUAUUAGAAACACAGAAGUUCACGUAAACCUCUUCUUAUGCUUGGUUUUCACUAUGUCAUAUUUGACGUCAAAUGUUGUCAGUUGAAAUAAAACGGGUUGUCAUAUGGCAUCAAAUGCGUUCGUUGUCAUAUAUGACCACGCACGGUCAUAUAAAAUGACAGCCAAGUGAAAACGGCCUUAAUUUAAUUUGACCGCCAAUGUGGCAACAUUUGACACCUAAAAUUAAUUUGCCAGCAUGUUGGCAAUUUGUUUUCGUUUGACGCGUGCACAGCUGUUUUUCUUCUGCAUCAAUUUGCAGCAAAGUGUCAAAAUAUGAUUGUUCGUUAGCCCAAGCGGUAGCACCAGUGGAACGAAGAAGCGGGUGCGAAAAGGAAAAGUGGACAAAUGAGCAAAUGGAGAGGCUGGUGCAAGAAGUAGAAGCUAGAGAAGGCACGUGGAAUUUUCUUUCCACUGAAUACAGGGACAGGAAUUUGCGAGAGGCUCAAUGGCAAGAUGUGGCGGAUAUUUUGAAGAUGCCGCGAUCGGAAGUUUCAGCCAAGUGGAACAGCCUUCGCUGCUCUUUCCGCGCGGCCUUCAAUAGAAAAGGACAUACCAAAAGUGGGCAAGGAGCAGGAAGAGGGACUGCAAUGAGCCCGCUUUACAAUUCCCUCAAAUUUCUUGAGCCGACAUUGAAAAUUGAGGCCAGCACAACAUCAAAUUUAGG
Rhagoletis zephyria (snowberry fruit fly) is the source of this 749-nucleotide long non-coding RNA. RefSeq lists it as uncharacterized. The record is from RefSeq and is a predicted model, not a curated record. NCBI's taxonomy places the organism in Eukaryota, Metazoa, Arthropoda, Insecta, Diptera, Tephritidae.